This is an unclassified non-coding RNA of Orbicella faveolata, 871 nucleotides long. The record is from RefSeq and is a predicted model, not a curated record. Lineage: Eukaryota; Metazoa; Cnidaria; Anthozoa; Scleractinia; Merulinidae.
GGCGGAAGGACAAGAAGAAAUACAUGGUGGUGAAGAAAAUGAGGCGGAUAUGGACUAUAGAAAGAUGAAACGAUCUCACGAAACGUGGUUUCUUCACUAAGCCAGCCAGUUUAAGGAUCAAAAAGGGAAAAAAGUACAAGUUUACAGGGCUGGGUAUCGCGAAGGUCUGGAGUCGGGAAAAGAUGCGAACUUACAACAAGGUUUCAACCAGGGAUUUAUUUAUGGUGCCAACUUGUCAAGGGAAUGGGGAAAAUUAAGAGGUGUCUUGAGUGCCCUGAUGUCAUUUGUAAGUUCAAAAUCAGCCCACGAUAUAAGUCCACAUAUAACUGCUGAAAUCAUUGAGCUUUUUACAUUGGUUGGCCAAAUGGAGAAGCAUUCUCUUGAUACAAACCAUAUGCAAGAUGCUCUGGAAAACAAAAUGAAUCAGGCUCAACAUUCAUUGGAACUGAGAACUGAAGCAUUGAAACAUCACAAGGUGGCUAUCAGCACGAACAAUGGAGAGGAAAAUGAAUUAUCUUCAGCAUUUGAAAGGCUUCACACACAAGGUAGACCUGAAGGUGUUGGAGAUUUAGGUGUAGAAUAUGAGACAGUUGAGGACAGAGUAGAAACAGGAAGUGACUUCAUGGACACAGCUCUGCCUGCCGUAUCCAGCUACUCGACUAGUGUUUCAUUGGAAGCAUCUGAGACAGAACUGAGUGAGGUAGAAACCUUGUGGUCACGGAUUGUUUCCCUAGCUGAAAAAAUUGGUGUCAAUGGACAAAAAAUACUUCCCGUAAAAACUAUUUAAUAUGAAACAAUAUUUAGCAUACACUUUUAAUUUAUGUAAAAAUAUUUAAAUUUAUCCCAGAAAAUUAAAACAAAUUUCCCCAGA